AGAGAGAGACAUGCGCGCAUAUCAAUAAGCGGAGGAAAAGAAACUAACAAGGAUUCCCCUAGUAACGGCGAGUGAAGCGGGAAGAGCUCAAAUUUGAAAUCUUAAAGGGUUUCCCUUUACGAAUUGUAGUUUAAAGAAGUGUUUUCUGUUGAGGUUUUGGUAAAAGUUCUUUGGAAUAAGACAUCAUAGAGGGUGAGAAUCCCGUAUUUGACCUUUACUUUCAACUUUGUGAUACACUUUCAAAGAGUCGGAUUGUUUGGGAAUGCAGUCCAAAAUGGGUGGUAAAUUUCAUCUAAAGCUAAAUAUUGGCGAGAGACCGAUAGCGAACAAGUACCGUGAGGGAAAGAUGAAAAGAACUUUGAAAAGAGAGUUAAACAGUACGUGAAAUUGUCAAAAGGGAAGCGUUUGACACCAGUGUUGUUUUUCUGAAAAUCAAUUAAAGAACUGUUUAUGCUAAGUUGUUUAGACUUUAUCAGCUAACUGUUUAGUUUUGAGCUUUUCUUUAAUGCACUUUUCAGUUAACAAGUCAACAUCAAUUUCUUUUGCUGUAAAAAAGCUUGAGGAAGGUGGCUUGAGAUUCGUCUUAAGUGUUUAUAGCCUCUUGCCUAUGCAGUCGGAGAGAUUGAGGUCUGCAGCGUAGAUCCUUCGGGACUAAAUGCAUUUGUGCUAAGUUAUAGCAUUUUAUAGACAACUUGUUGACUAUGAUUUGUCUUGUAGCUUACUCGCUUAUGUUAUUUUACCUACGCUUAGGAUGUUGAGCGCAUGUCUCUCUCU
Molecule: ribosomal RNA, 774 nt
Filed under: uncultured Neocallimastigales
Lineage: Eukaryota; Fungi; Neocallimastigomycota; Neocallimastigomycetes; Neocallimastigales
Description: partial large subunit ribosomal RNA
Rfam family: Eukaryotic large subunit ribosomal RNA
Source: RNAcentral